GCGGACCUACGGGGCCGCAUAACCUUUCGGGCCCCACAUGGGUCUGAGCUAAAACGGAAGACAGAAA
Molecule: non-coding RNA, 67 nt
Filed under: unclassified sequences
Description: L2-Alphaproteobacteria ribosomal protein leader
Rfam family: L2-Alphaproteobacteria ribosomal protein leader
Source: RNAcentral